UAUGGUUCCUUAGAUCGUACAAUCCCAUUUGGAUAACUGUGGCAAUUCUAGAGCUAAUACAUGCAACUAAGCUCCGACCUUCGGGGAAGAGCGCUUUUAUUAGAUCAAGACCAAUACGGUUACCGCAAGGUGCCGUUCCGUUGGUGACUCUGGAUAACUUUGUGCUGAUCGCAUGGCCUCGCGCCGGCGACGUAUCUUUCAAAUGUCUGCCCUAUCAACUGUCGAUGGUACGUGCUAUGCCUACCAUGGUGAUUACGGGUAACGGAGAAUCAGGGUUCGAUUCCGGAGAGGGAGCAUGAGAAACGGCUACCACA
Molecule: ribosomal RNA, 314 nt
Filed under: uncultured eukaryote
Lineage: Eukaryota
Description: SSU rRNA
Rfam family: Eukaryotic small subunit ribosomal RNA
Source: RNAcentral